UGAGUAAUGUCUGGGAAACUGCCUGAUGGAGGGGGAUAACUACUGGAAACGGUAGCUAAUACCGCAUAACGUCGCAAGACCAAAGAGGGGGACCUUCGGGCCUCUUGCCAUCAGAUGUGCCCAGAUGGGAUUAGCUAGUAGGUGGGGUAAUGGCUCACCUAGGCGACGAUCCCUAGCUGGUCUGAGAGGAUGACCAGCCACACUGGAACUGAGACACGGUCCAGACUCCUACGGGAGGCAGCAGUGGGGAAUAUUGCACAAUGGGCGCAAGCCUGAUGCAGCCAUGCCGCGUGUGUGAAGAAGGCCUUCGGGUUGUAAAGCACUUUCAGCGAGGAGGAAGGUGGUGAACUUAAUACGUUCAUCAAUUGACGUUACUCGCAGAAGAAGCACCGGCUAACUCCGUGCCAGCAGCCGCGGUAAUACGGAGGAUGCAAGCGUUAAUCGGAAUUACUGGGCGUAAAGCGCACGCAGGCGGUUUGUUAAGUCAGAUGUGAAAUCCCCGGG
RNAcentral lists this ribosomal RNA (504 nucleotides) under uncultured bacterium. RNAcentral describes it as "bacterial SSU rRNA". It matches the Rfam family "Bacterial small subunit ribosomal RNA", at positions 107 to 607 of the family's 1533-position model. The record is from RNAcentral.